RNAcentral lists this long non-coding RNA (6275 nucleotides) under Sus scrofa (pig). RNAcentral's name for it is "lncRNA (ENSSSCG00065058550.1)". Lineage: Eukaryota; Metazoa; Chordata; Mammalia; Artiodactyla; Suidae. The record is from RNAcentral.
ACAGAUGAGUGUAAAAAUGAAAAUGACUGACGACAUAAAUCACUUACAUAAAUAUCACCUUUGAGUUUCAAAUCAGGAAAUUCCUAGAAUAAAAGUAUCCUCCUGACUUCACAGAGACCAUUGAAACUAAUAAAAAUAACUUCAACCCCACAGCAAACCUUUGCAAUUAUGCCACAUUAUGAUUCUCCUCAUACUACGAAAUAGACUAAACAUGGAAGAGCUCAAGGAAAAGUGACUUUUAAAAAAUAUGGCUCUCUUAUCUGAUUAGAUUUCAUAGAUUGUCAGAGGCAAAAUAUCUUUAUACAUUUUUGUCACUAGAAUUGGUCUUAAGAUGUUAGGCUUCCACUAUGUAAAUCAAAAGUCAAAAUUCAUCAGUGCCAUUAAUCUGUUAAGGCAAAGCUUAUUCGAAGUGCAUGUCUUCAUAAUCUUUAAGUAAUAAUUCUUUUGGAAAGUUUUUAGACAGCAGUCAAGACUGGAAAUAUAUAUACCCGUUUUUUACUCAAGACUUGAUCACAUUUAAGGGACUUUAAUCUGGUGAGGAGGGAGGAUUUCAAGUAAUGUUUCUUGGAUCACAAUGGUUCUGGAAGUCUAAGUAGUUCAUAAUUCAGAUCUCCUACAUCUUUUCUCAAUUGUGUUUCCUUGACUUCAUUCACCAUUGUAGCUGAACACUUGACUGUAAAGUCAAUACCCAGUCAAAAUGUGGACUUAACACUGCUAGCGAUCAUGAUAAAACAUAUUUGGUCAAUUUUGACUAAAAUGUCAAAUGAAUGUUUUAUAUUUAGAGCUAGACCAAGUUGUAAUAACUAUCAUCCAAUUCUUAUUCUCACCUCACUAAAAUUUUGAAAACUUUGACUUCCUGAAGAGCAACAGCUAAUUAGAGGCAGAGUUCUAACAAAAGCCUGAGUCUCCCACUCCUAUACAGGGCUCUAUCCAAUAUAUUAGGUUGCUAUUGAGGAUAAUUCUAGCUCUAAUUUUCCAUGAUUAGUUUUAAAGCAUAAUCACUUUCUAUACAUUCCAGGGAAACAUCUUUUUCCUUACUAAAAAUAAUCAUCUCUGUAAGGUAUAUUUCUAAGUUUUAUUAUUUUAAUAUAUUUUUAAAAUUGUCCAUCUGAAUUUGUGAAAAUUUGACUCUAAAGAUUCAAAACAACAAAGCAACAGUAAAAUAAAUGAAUAAAUAAAAUUUUUAAAAACCCACCUCGAUCAGUACCACAAUCACCAAAAUAUGAGUUAUUUUCAAGGAAACUAUUUAUUAACUUUAAUUAGAACUUUCUAAGUGACUUUUAAUUGAUACUCUAACUGUAUCCCAUACCUUAAAAUAAUGCACAUGUUUAGCAUCAACAGGAAAUGUUUAUUGCAGGUGACAUUGAAACAUGUUAAUGAACAUGAUCCACGUACAUGAGGUGGGGAAUAAAAUCUUUGUGAAUCACAACACCCUCUAUUCCCAGGACUCUCAAUUAUAACCAUAUCUGAAUCUCUUAGUCCAAUAAUAAUUGAUUUAAUAAUAGAUAUCCUAAAGCAAUUAAAACACUUGAGUGCCUCUGAACUUCACAGAUAAACUAAAUAGUGUUGAACAUAUUUUUGUGUUAUGCUCAUUUCAAUAUAGGCUAAUCUUUUGAAUGUACAAUCAAUCUAUAUUACAUUAUGAUAUCUUAUUAAUAUGAAUAUCUGAUUCCCCAGAACAUCUACCUAAAUAAUAGCCAAAAGUUUAUUGCAAAGACUGUUUUUCUCUAUAGUAUGUACCUCCAUGAUUUUUUUUCUUAGAUGUUGAGGAGGGCAUUGCAAUUUGGGGGAGUAUUUCAACUCUGCAGUGUGCCAGUUUCUAAUUUGAUGCAGAAUGACAGCUAUGUAUUUCCAUAAAUGUAUGAGCAUUUUGAUAUGAAACUGUUAUUUCUCAUCUGAAGUCAUAAUUGUUCAGUGUGAAAGUAGGACAUGGGAAUGAUAAUAAUAAUAAUUUGCCUUUUUGAGAUCAUGGCAAUAAUAAGCAUAAUUUUCAGAGCUGCAUAUAAGCGAAAGGAGCUUUGCCUAUAGGCAGCAUGACAGGAUGGUUAUUGGGGGAGGAAGAUUAUGAAUUGCUGACAGGUGGAUUACCCAUUUUUGCAGCCAUCUUGCUUCUCUGCCCUUUCUUUCUGCAUAACUACAGCCUCUAGCCAGCUACCUGCCACUGCUUUACUAGAAACUGUGACAAAGAGAGCAAAAUGGAGGUCAGUUUAGGAAUCUCAAAGGGUUAAUACCUUUUUUUAUAAAGCUUGGUAGCAUGACCAUUUAGUUGUAACAUGCCAGUAUUUUUUUUUUUUUUAAAGCAAUCUGUUUUCUUUAGAAGAAUCCAUUUCUCUGGGUUGUCAAGAAGUAAAAAGGGUUUUUUGCUGUUGUUAAAUGAUGUUUUAAAAUCCUGUCCAAUUUAUGUUAAAGAAGGUAACUAGAAUGAUUGAGACUGAAAGACAGCGAUACAUGAAAAGGAAUAAAAGAACACAGGAAGCAUAAGGUCUGGCAACAACCAUGAUAGUUGUUUGGCUGCUAGUAGCAGUAAUAAGGACUAGUUGUACUGGUUGAGAAAGCUGUCUAAUUCAGAUGCAUCCAAUAAAAUACACAUCCUUCAAACGAGAUACGGUAUAUAAAUAUAUACUUUCAAAAGCACUAUCACCAACUCCAAUUCUGAAUGACUCAGAAAAAAUUUUAAAUUCUUCAAGUUCAUAGACUUAGGAAAGAAUGUGUUGAACUGCAGAAAUCAGUAGAGAUUUUUCUAAAAGUAAAACGUUCAGUUUGUGUGUGUGUGUUUGAUUGGGUAAAAUUAUAUGAGUUCAUUGGGCCUCUGUAUCACUUUCUGGUGACCUAGUAGUCAUUUUUAGUUACUCCAUUUAGUUAUAAAGAGCAUAGAGUAGGAAUAUGCCUUUAAUAUUCUGUGUUAACCUGGACUAUGAGAGGAAAUUCCCUUUUAAAAGUGAUAGUGUCGCCAUUCAUCCAAGGUGUUCAAACCAAAAUAUCGACCCUCAUUUCUGAGGCCUAGCCCUUGGUUGUUUUUCAGAGGAUGGUGAGAGGUUAGUUCAAAACCACCCACACACACAGGUCUAGUUCCUGGGUGAUCAACAGAAUGCAUGUGUGAAAAGGUUGCUUGGACCAAAGAUGCAGCCUGUGCCUUUGGUUCAGGGAUUCCCCUCAGUGCAAAAUCUAACCUGCUUUUAUAGAUAUUACAUUAGCAUCAUGCACAAAAUAUUCAGCUGCCUUACUCUUGAACCCUUUUUCCUGACUCCAAACGAGUAUUCUUUGGAGAUAUGAAUGUGUGAAAGGUGGUCAUUUAUAUAAACCUGGAGAAAUACAAGGAGAUAGGAUUGAAGGAAAAUUCUUAUUGCCCUCUGAUCUUGAAGGACAGUUGAUUUAUUAUUAUGAAAUAACAAAGAACUCUUAAGGCUGAAACCUUUUUUGCCCUACUUCAACCUGAUGGGAAGGUUUCCUUCCAAGUUAUAAACCCAUCCAAAGUGUGGCCUUUAAUGGAAAACUGAGAGCUCUUUCACACAUGGCGGUUGGAGCCACUGCACUAAUAAAAGGCUUCAUUAAAAUAGGGUCAGAAUCAGUGUGCCAUGACAAUUUUCAGCUACAAAUUGCAAAAGAAUUGGUUGCACCUAUAAUGAGAGUUCAAUUAAAUUACCUUGGUUUUCCAAGAAGGAAAUUAAAUAUUGAAUCCAUCAUUGAGUGUUUAUCUUGAAGGGAAUAAUGUAUGGACUGGAGAAGAGUUGAGAUAAGCAGACAUGGCCUCUUCUCUAAUUAUUCUUUACUGCUAAGGACCUGCUCUCCAACCAAAACCUUUCUCCCUCCCUGUCUAGUUCUGUGAGAAAUACGAUGACACAAGACCGCUUGUCCCACACAACACAGGGAUGUUGGAAAAGUUGACAGGAAAUGUCAGUAAAGCACUCUCUGAACACAAUAGUAAUAUUGUACACUGCUUUUUCUCCGAGCUAUUGAUCAGAUGCAACAGCCUAAGUAACCAAAAGUAGCAAAUACAUAACGCUGAUCUCUCAUCUCCCACCUGGGAGUAUUGUACACUAUCUCCCUAGACUCUCUUUAACUUGAUGUGGUAUUUUGUUGGAUUUUCAAGUUAUUUGAACAAUCUGAAAAUCAUUUAAAAUAUUUAUAAAACAAAAGACUUUUAAAUCCCUACAGAGUAUUGAAUUUGGUCAAAGCACUAUCAUAAAAUAAUGUAUCUUUUUCUUAUACAUUAUGUCCUUUGCCUAGUGCAUCCCUUUUCCACUGUGUGCCUGGUUUGACUUCUAUAUUUUCCUACAAAAUUCCCAAAUCAAGUUUUUCAUGGCUGAAACAUCCUCAAACCUUGAAUGGUGGGGAUAAUUUGCUCCUGGCCAGUGUCCAGGGCCAUUUGCCAUCCUCCCCAGCACAAUCCCAAAAUUUACCACGACAGUGGGUGUGAGUGGCUCUCCUGGGAACUCUUCUUAAAUCCAACACUUUCAAAUUUAGAAAGGUUGGUCCUUUCUAUUACCAAGUGCUCAAAUGAAAUCCAAUUAUAUCAUUCCUAAAUAAACCCUAUAGCUCUGUCCUAAUCAAGUCACAAUAAUGCCCAUCAUGCAGAAAAGACAAAAUUGCUUCUAGCACACUACCUCACACCUAGCAGUGAGUAAUAAAUACUUGAUGAAUGAAUAUGAAGGAAAAUGCACUAAGUGGCAGAAUCCAUAUUCUACAGCCAAGGUCAGGGCAAUUACAUUUUAGAAGCAGGCUUCACAGGGAAGUAACAGUAACCAGCAUCACUGUUCUAGUGAAGCACGUCAAUGGAAUAGUUUUAUUAUGGAAAUUUGAUACUUGAGAGAAGUCAGCUGUUUUUACUUUAUUUAUUUUAAAUAUAUCUUAAAUCAGAAUUUUUAUACACAUUUAAAUGUUUUUGCAAUUGCCUUAUUUUUCUGUACUUUGUUUUAGUACUGUACUAUACAAAAAUACUGUACUGCUUGGACUUGUGAACACAGACUACAUGAUAUUUUCUAUGCUAUCACUUCUGAUAGUCCCUGACAUCUCUGUUCUCUGUUUUCACUUUAUAUGGCUUCUUUUUUCAGAUAUAUUGGGUUCUUUCUAAAUGUAGGUUGGCAAGAUGAAUGGUGAGAGGAACAAAACAUUAUUAGAAUUUCCCUGUGUGUGCUUAGUAUCUGUCAUUUCCUUUUACCUUUCAGAAUAGCACUGUUAGGUAACUGGUAGUAACCCCAGUUUACAGAUGAGAAAACUGAGUAUCAAAAAUGUAUGUAUAAGUUCCUGCAGGCUAAAAAGUGUCAGGACAGCAUUCAGAACCAGGAAAAGACAUAACAACAACAACCAACAACAAAAAUGACAAGAAAUGAGAAAGAAGCUGUUAUAUCAUAGCAUCUGUAGAUUGGAACAGUUGCUGUCAUUUCCAGUUGCUGUACACUUGUGGGAUUCCUACCCAGCUCUAUAUCCAAUUAUGGAUCAGGAACCAAGAGAUGAGAAAGUCUGAGAUGACAUAGGAAGGUGAGUGAGCAGAUAGAGGGGAAGGGAAAGUGAAGAGUACCCAAGAGUUACUGCCAUAACCAACAGGUUUUAAGCAACUCAGAAGAUGUAUUGUCCUUGACAGCCAUUGCAGUAGGUGGCGAUAUUGUACCACCUUGAAAAGUUGGGAAGCAUUCUUCUUUUCUUUAGUCUCUGAAGUUAAUCUGUACUGAAGCUAUGUAUUUACUGGCCUCCUACCACUUUUAUACCUACAAGUUGCAUUAAUUUUUGACCCAAUCUGAGAUGCAGAUAGGAAACAGGUAUCUCCCAUCCACAACUCUCCAAAAAAUCAGUUCCAAAAAUUCAAGAGCCCUUUGGCUCUCCACCUAGAUGUCUCCUAGCACCUCAAAUCCAACAUGUCCUAAAUUGAAUAUAUUUCCAACCUCAGGAUAUUUAUAUCUCUUUUCUGACUUUUAAAAUUAGAAAUAUCCCUAUUCACCCAGUCAUCUAAGCCAGUUAUCUGGAUAUAAGCCUUGUGGGCAAUGAAAUAGUGGUUAAGAGCAUAGCUUUUAUAGUACGUGGGUUAUGAGGUCAAAUUGUAUGGUUUGGGAGUUCCCAUCAUGGCUCAGUUGUUAACGAAUCUGACUAGGAACCAUGAGGUUGCAGAUUCAAUCCCUGACCUCACUCAAGGGAUUGAGGAUCUGGCGUUGUCAUGAGCUGUGGUGUAGGUCACAGAUGUGCCUAGGAUCCCACAUUGCUGUGGCUCUGGCAUAGGCCAGCAGCUGUAGCUCUGAUUAGACCCCUAGCCUGGGAACCUCCAUAUGCCACGAGUGUGGCCC